AGAGUUUGAUCCUGGCUCAGGACGAACGCUGGCGGCGUGCCUAACACAUGCAAGUCGAACGGAGAAUUUUAUUUCGGUAGAAUUCUUAGUGGCGAACGGGUGAGUAACGCGUAGGCAACCUGCCCUUUAGACGGGGACAACAUUCCGAAAGGAGUGCUAAUACCGGAUGUGAUCAUCGUGCCGCAUGGCAGGAUGAAGAAAGAUGGCCUCUACAAGUAAGCUAUCGCUAAAGGAUGGGCCUGCGUCUGAUUAGCUAGUUGGUAGUGUAACGGACUACCAAGGCGAUGAUCAGUAGCCGGUCUGAGAGGAUGAACGGCCACAUUGGGACUGAGACACGGCCCAAACUCCUACGGGAGGCAGCAGUGGGGAAUCUUCCGCAAUGGACGAAAGUCUGACGGAGCAACGCCGCGUGAGUGAUGAAGGAUUUCGGUCUGUAAAGCUCUGUUGUUUAUGACGAACGUGCAGUGUGUGAACAAUGCAUUGCAAUGACGGUAGUAAACGAGGAAGCCACGGCUAACUACGUGCCAGCAGCCGCGGUAAUACGUAGGUGGCGAGCGUUGUCCGGAAUUAUUGGGCGUAAAGAGCAUGUAGGCGGCUUAAUAAGUCGAGCGUGAAAAUGCGGGGCUCAACCCCGUAUGGCGCUGGAAACUGUUAGGCUUGAGUGCAGGAGAGGAAAGGGGAAUUCCCAGUGUAGCGGUGAAAUGCGUAGAUAUUGGGAGGAACACCAGUGGCGAAGGCGCCUUUCUGGACUGUGUCUGACGCUGAGAUGCGAAAGCCAGGGUAGCGAACGGGAUUAGAUACCCCGGUAGUCCUGGCCGUAAAC
Molecule: ribosomal RNA, 823 nt
Filed under: human gut metagenome
Description: bacterial SSU rRNA
Rfam family: Bacterial small subunit ribosomal RNA
Source: RNAcentral